This 74-nucleotide transfer RNA is filed under the name Candidatus Moraniibacteriota bacterium. RNAcentral describes it as "tRNA-Cys". It matches the Rfam family "tRNA". Rfam says of the family: Transfer RNA (tRNA) molecules are approximately 80 nucleotides in length. Their secondary structure includes four short double-helical elements and three loops (D, anti-codon, and T loops). Lineage: Bacteria; Candidatus Moraniibacteriota. The record is from RNAcentral.
GGUCGCAUGGCCGAGUGGUUAGGCAAGGGUCUGCAAAACCCUCCACCCCGGUUCAAUUCCGGGUGCGACCUCAA